Molecule: long non-coding RNA, 2366 nt
Organism: Sphaeramia orbicularis (orbiculate cardinalfish)
Lineage: Eukaryota; Metazoa; Chordata; Actinopteri; Kurtiformes; Apogonidae
Source: Ensembl
GCCUGUCCAGUUUCUACAGCCAUAGGCUUGAACCGCUUGGCAGCCCGUAGGCCUACAGUAGGGGUCUCCCGUAUUGUGCCUUGUCUCUGAAACAACCGGCAACGUGCUUCCCUUUGCCUUGCUGACAUGCAAAAGCAACUCAUACAUGCAGCAGGAUCCUCCCUUGCUGCCAAUGCAUGUUCCUCUCCCAAGCAAUACACACAUAAGUCAUGGGGAUCAUCUAUGGGGAUCCUCCCCCCACAGCCCAUGCACAAUGGACUCUCCCGGCUCGUCAUUGCGUGACGUCACCGUCACGUGACCCGGAAAAGUUUAUGGCGUUUUGUUUGCUAAGUUUGUUAGCUUUAACUUUGUUUACCUGUGAGUCUGCCUUUUUUUUCUAAAAAUCGACUCAUGGAAUGGGGAUAGGGAGAGAAGCUUUUUCUUUGGGACGCUGUUGUGCCACUGCCGACACAACACACAAUAUACAAGGAAGCGUCUUUUUUUUUUUUUUUUUUUUUUUUUUUAAAUGGCAAGAAAGCCGUCCCGGAGGAAAAUGCUGGCCGUGCCCGCGACUUGUCGCAUCUCCGGCCAGCUGCACCUAUACGGCACAAUCCUCCUAAUGGACAACUUCCCCACGCUAAAAAGAAAAAAGGAGGAGAUAUGAGAGAGGACGCUGGCUGCACCCGCGACUUUGUCGCUUCCUCAGACCAGCUGUACGCUCAGUACCCUCAGCUCAACUUCUCCAAAGAAAAUAGAAGGGAGCAAAAAAGGCAACUUUUCACCCUGAGAGGAGUCUAACACAGACCAGCUCUCUACCCGAAGCCUUUCCAGAACAGCAUGUAGAUGCAGUAGAAGGUGGCAGCGCCUUCUUAAACUGUCUUGUGGAAAACCAGCGCAAUGUGGAGAAGUUAACAGUGGAGUGGUCCAAGUGGUCCAAAGAUGGAGUGAAAGAGUGCGUCCACCUCUAUAAACACAGAAAAGACCAAGUUGCCAACCAGGAUGAGAAGUUCAGAGGCAAGGCCAACCUCAAACAUGAAGGCUUGAAAGGUGGAAUUGUGACCCUGGAGCUGCAGUUUGUCCACCUGUCCAACAGUGGACGAUACAUCUGCUACAUUCCCAGGCUGGACCACCACUGUUACAUCAUCCUCAAUAUUGUUUCUGCUGGACAAAACAACAUGACAAAGGGAGAAAACUCCAGCACAACUGGACCUCCAGAUGAGGACAACCAAGGUCAUCUAAACCGGAACUUUGGCAGAGCUAUCGUGCUUUCCAUCGUUUUCCUUAUCUUCAGCAUUUUCAUCGUCAUCCUGAUCAUACUGGCCCGACGUCAUGCAGCAAUGAAGUCUGAAAUGAAGAGAACGAAGAGAACCAGCUCAUAUGAUCCUGAAAAUCAACUACCAGAAGGUGUCUCUAUCACCUCUGAGCUCCACCCCAGAGAUCAGCAUUAACCAGGCCUCAGCGCCACGUCUGGUCACACACACAGACACACACAGUUGUCUAAGUAAAGGGAUAAAAAUAUGACGUAUUUGGUCAGUGGUUCCCAACCUUUUUUUGGCUCUUGACCCCAUUUUAACAUCACAAAUUUUUGGCAACCCCAGGGAUUAAAAACAGAAACAUUUUUUUGGCUAAAAUUAAUUUGUUUCUGAUCAUGUAAUAGUUUGCUAUACUAUGUUGCAAAUAAACAUUAAUUUUAGACAACAUUUAGUCUAUAUAAUGUACAUUUUUAUGGCUGGAGGCAGAAAAGCCAGGUGUAGAUUACUGCACGAAGUGAGAAUUUGAUUUUCCUUGGUCAGGAUAUGUACAGUCAGUCAAGCUUGGAUUUACAAGGCUGACAAUUAAUACUGAACAAACAAGAACUCAAACUAUGAAUUAUGAAAGAGCUGAAGCAUCUGAAACCGACCACAAUGAACAUUUGAAAGAUAAACAGUACCACAGUGCUUCAGUUUCAGCUUCACAGUUUGUCAUGUCUUUUAUAUAUUGGGAUUGUCCCUGUCAACUCACCAUAUAUUUUUUAUUUCUAAGUUGUUGGGUUUUUUUUAUCAAUUGCUAGAAAUUUCAGGCAACCCCACAGUUGAAAAACACUGCCCUAAGGUUUGUUUUUUUGGCUGAAGUCUUGGUGAUAAUGUCCUGUUUACCUCUUUGUCUCUUUCAGUUACUGUGGAUGUUUUCAAACUGCAGCAUCUUUUAUAAAUAAAGCCCAGUUACUGUAUGUUCAUAUCAUUAAAAAAAAUAUACUAAUUUUAUUUGAAAUAUGUCACUUUCAGCAUCAGCUACUGUUUGUUUUUUCUUCAGUUUCUUUUUAUUUCUUUUGUUUAAAUCAAAGCACUUUUUGUACAUGUUCUUGUCUUUUCCCAUUUUAUAAAUAAAUUGAUUUCACUCUUUAAAAA